This is a long non-coding RNA of Leopardus geoffroyi (Geoffroy's cat), 525 nucleotides long. RefSeq lists it as uncharacterized. The record is from RefSeq and is a predicted model, not a curated record. The transcript is spliced from 2 exons. NCBI's taxonomy places the organism in Eukaryota, Metazoa, Chordata, Mammalia, Carnivora, Felidae.
CCACUUUCUUUUUCAAAGUUGUUUGGCUUCUUUAGGUCCUUUGCGUUUCCACAUAAACUUUAGAAUAAGCUCCUAAAUGUCUGUUAAAAAGCCCACUGAGGUUUUAAUCGGGAUCGCAUUGAACCUAUGGAUCAGUCGGGAAGUUGGCCUCUGAACCAUCUUGAGCCUCUGACCAAUGACCCUGCUUUGCGUCCUGCCAUUUCUUACAUCUCAAAUUUUUCUCAGCCACGUUUUGUGAUUUUCAGGGCACAGACGGUGCAUGUCCUAGAUCAGAACUAUCCCUGUGUCAUAGUUUUGAUGCUCCUGUAAUUGGCAUUGUUUAUUUCAAUUUCUGGUUGUUGAUGGCCAAUAUGUAGAAAUACCACGGAGUUUUCUAUGUUGAGCUUUUAUCCUGAAACCUUUUGAACUCACGCAUCAGUUCUAGUAACUUUUUUGGAGAGUUUUACCAAAUUUUCUCCAUAGGUUAUUGGAUAUUCAUGACAUCUCUGAAUAAAGACAGUUUCGCUUCUUCCUUUUUAAUCUGGA